RNAcentral lists this ribosomal RNA (486 nucleotides) under uncultured bacterium. RNAcentral describes it as "partial 16S ribosomal RNA". It matches the Rfam family "Bacterial small subunit ribosomal RNA", at positions 28 to 507 of the family's 1533-position model. The record is from RNAcentral.
GAUGAACGCUGGCGGCGUGCCCAAUACAUGCAAGUCGAACGCUGGAAAUCUAGCUUGCUAGAUUGAAGGAGUGGCGAACGGGUGAGUAAUACAUAAGCAACCUACCCACGAAGACUGGGAUAAUCUCUGGAAACGGGGACUAAUACCGGAUAGGUAAUCGGAAGGCAUCUUCUGAUUAUUAAAGGUUAAAAACACUGGUGGAUGGGCUUAUGGCGCAUUAGUUAGUUGGUGAGGUAACGGCCCACCAAGACGAUGAUGCGUAGCCGGCCUGAGAGGGUGAACGGCCACAUUGGGACUGAGACACGGCCCAGACUCCUACGGGAGGCAGCAGUAGGGAAUUUUCGGCAAUGGGGGAAACCCUGACCGAGCAACGCCGCGUGAGUGAUGACGGCCUUCGGGUUGUAAAGCUCUGUUGUAAGGGAAGAACGGUAGAUAGAGAAUAUCUAAAUGACGGUACCUUACCAGAAAGCCACGGCUAACUACGUG